UAGGGCUUAAUGUUGUUACAGAUAGUUCAUGCUGGCAUAACUGAAAAGUCUAAAAUAAAUGUGUUUGAGUAUAAAAUCAUCAGUGCAUUGUCAAGUUGGAUGAAAAGAGCUCUUGUUAACAUUUUUAGGACACAUGGGUAAGCCACAUUUCCAUAUUUAAGAUUAUUGAUUGUCAUACAGUAGCCUUACAUUUUAUUGGCAGCCCCCAUUUUUAUCAAUUUAACUACCCCGAGGUGUUGAUUCUGGAGAAAAUUAACAAAGCAUCAGGGAAUAUCUGCAUCUAAUGAAGGAGGAAACAGAGAAACUUAGACCAAACGUAGAGCUCCUCAAAGAAAGGAUGGCGCUGAUAAAAUGCUAUCGGACAAAUUUUGUGUCCAAAUAUAGCACAGAGGACACUCUCUCUGAGUUCCUGUGUUUCAGACUGGCCACAAUGCUCAGUACAGUAGUGUGUUAAUUGCCUCCUUAUUUAAUUGUAUGAGUUAUGACUAUAUUUUAAUACAUGUCUUUCCUCCUUUGCCUUCCUCUUAAUAUAAGCUCCUUUCGGAUCUAUGAGACCACGCCAGUGUUGAUUUGGACCAACAAAUUCUCACACAGCUCUCUGUAAUGACAACCCGAGUCCUUCAAGUUUCGCGGAGUCCCCUGACGGAGAAGUUCAGGUGCAUGAUUGAUGACUGUGAAGAUGGCAGACUGAAAAAAGGCAUACAGUUGGAAGCAGCUAUUCUGCUCUUGCCUGCUCUGUUCAAGGAGGACCCCGGGGUUGCUGUUUGAAGUUGAGGGCCAUUCUCAGACCAGCCCAUCCCAACACCUAAGAUGAAGCUUAAAGGCUGUAGGGAGGGUCAUCUCGUGCAGUAAAACCACAUUGUGCUCACGUUGGAUGGACAGUUAAUCACAGAGGAGAGCAAGGACAUCUCGACAGCGCUGGGACUCCUCCUGUAGCAGCGGAGGAGUCCCAUUCCUUAAGUACCCCAGACCAAGACCAACAUCCCCUUAUUUAACACACCUGAUUCAGAUCAUGAGCUCCUUAGAAAAGAGCUCCAUGAAC
This is a long non-coding RNA of Onychostoma macrolepis, 1042 nucleotides long. RefSeq lists it as uncharacterized. The transcript has 3 exons. Lineage: Eukaryota; Metazoa; Chordata; Actinopteri; Cypriniformes; Cyprinidae. The record is from RefSeq and is a predicted model, not a curated record.